AGAAAGUGAUCCAAUUUUUUGGCUUCUUCAAUUGUCAUACCCAUACAAGAAGGAUGAAACCAAUCUUUGCAACCCUCGCACUGCACCAUUAGAUCAUCUGGAUUGUAUGGCAUCUCACAUUUACAGUACACAGCUACGCGGUCAGGGGUGAACCCGCCAGUUGCAGCCUUGUAUUCGAAUCUACAAAAGUAAUCCUCAGCUCCAACAUUUUCAAGCUUAGUGUAGUUCUUGAAGGAAUGCACUAUGCACUUGCCUUCAAUUGUGUGUGCACUUUGCACAUCAUAGUGGUCCGAUAAGAAGAGCUCUUUUGCCCCAUGGAAUUGACGGCGG
RNAcentral lists this unclassified non-coding RNA (330 nucleotides) under Hevea brasiliensis (rubber tree). The record is from RNAcentral. Lineage: Eukaryota; Viridiplantae; Streptophyta; Magnoliopsida; Malpighiales; Euphorbiaceae.